CCGUAUCUUAGCAUUAUUAGCUGAAAAUUUAAAUCAAUAAUAAUGAAAUACGAGAGGGACGUCCUUAAUUAAGAAGUUUUCUUAACACGUCCUUAUGGGCACGUGUCAUCCUCCAACAUGAAGACGGUCUCUCUCUUGUUUUCAUCGUCUCCUUCUCCCUAUUUUUUCUGGACUGUGAUUUCCAACCAAACCGUCUCCCUCCGUUGCUGCUUCCAUCGAUCAUUACCUAUCUAUGACUCUGCCUUGGCUAUUAGAGCAAAGAACCCUAGAUUCAAGUCGUGGGGGCAGCAGGGUUUUGAUUCUCAAUCAUUAGAAACUGGUUUACUGCAUCGGAUUCGGAUCGAUUAGAAAUCAAAUCGGAAAAACAUGAAAGAAGGGAAAUCUGCAAAGUCGAAUCAUCAGCAUCAAGACAACCAUGAAGAGAUUCACCACCAAAAGAGUCAUCUCGGUUCUUUCAAAUUCGCCAAACUGUUUGAUUCAGAAGCUUCCUGGGACAAGGACCAACUAGGAGAUGUGUUGCACUGGAUCAGGCAAGUUGUUGGCUUACUCUGCGGUUUGCUUUGGGGUGCCAUCCCUUUGGUUGGAGACAUCUGGCUACUUCUCUUGCGUGGAUUCUGGUGUAUAACUUGUCCAUGCUCAGAAGAAGUUUAGAGAAGGUGGAUUUCAUGGUGUUGAUGACAUUCUUCUUUACAUUGCUCUUGAUGCUUUUGUUUUCUCAAGAUGAAAAGUAGCUUUUCUUUGAAGUGUCAUCUUUGUUACAACUUAAUAGUUUACUUCAGCUAGAAGAAGAAAACCAUUGAAAUUCACUUAAAACUCUUGUUUUAUGUUUCAACGGGGUAAAAAGAUGAUAUACACAGCUGGGAGAGACACCAAUAAUCUAUCAUUUU
Long non-coding RNA from Raphanus sativus (radish), 887 nucleotides. RefSeq lists it as uncharacterized. The record is from RefSeq and is a predicted model, not a curated record. The transcript is spliced from 3 exons. Lineage: Eukaryota; Viridiplantae; Streptophyta; Magnoliopsida; Brassicales; Brassicaceae.